RNAcentral lists this ribosomal RNA (671 nucleotides) under Salmonella enterica subsp. enterica serovar Dublin. RNAcentral's name for it is "partial 23S ribosomal RNA". It matches the Rfam family "Bacterial large subunit ribosomal RNA", at positions 575 to 1221 of the family's 2925-position model. Lineage: Bacteria; Pseudomonadati; Pseudomonadota; Gammaproteobacteria; Enterobacterales; Enterobacteriaceae. The record is from RNAcentral.
GGGAGCACAGGUUUACCUGUGUGACUGCGUACCUUUUGUAUAAUGGGUCAGCGACUUAUAUUCUGUAGCAAGGUUAACCGAAUAGGGGAGCCGGAGGGAAACCGAGUCUUAAUUGGGCGUUAAGUUGCAGGGUAUAGACCCGAAACCCGGUGAUCUAGCCAUGGGCAGGUUGAAGGUUGGGUAACACUAACUGGAGGACCGAACCGACUAAUGUUGAAAAAUUAGCGGAUGACCUGUGGCUGGGGGUGAAAGGCCAAUCAAACCGGGAGAUAGCUGGUUCUCCCCGAAAGCUAUUUAGGUAGCGCCUCGUGAAUUCAUCUCCGGGGGUAGAGCACUGUUUCGGCUAGGGGGCCAUCCCGGCUUACCAACCCGAUGCAAACUGCGAAUACCGGAGAAUGUUAUCACGGGAGACACACGGCGGGUGCUAACGUCCGUCGUGAAGAGGGAAACAACCCAGACCGCCAGCUAAGGUCCCAAAGUCAUGGUUAAGUGGGAAACGAUGUGGGAAGGCCCAGACAGCCAGGAUGUUGGCUUAGAAGCAGCCAUCAUUUAAAGAAAGCGUAAUAGCUCACUGGUCGAGUCGGCCUGCGCGGAAGAUGUAACGGGGCUAAACCAUGCACCGAAGCUGCGGCAGCGAACGUAUCACUUAAAGCGAUUCAGCGGGUUACGAU